RNAcentral lists this long non-coding RNA (702 nucleotides) under Piliocolobus tephrosceles (Ugandan red Colobus). RNAcentral's name for it is "lncRNA (ENSPTEG00000022363.1)". The record is from RNAcentral. Lineage: Eukaryota; Metazoa; Chordata; Mammalia; Primates; Cercopithecidae.
AUAUAUAUAUAUAUAUAUAUGUAUAUCCCAGUUGUUUAAGCUGACAAAUAUUUAAAUUUAAAUUAUACAUUAUUUUAUUCAGCUAGUCACAUAUAUUAUUAUUUUUUUUUUUUUUUUUUUUUUUUUCAGGCAUUAAAUAUGAUCUUAGUAUGGAUACAAAACAAAACAUUCGUUGGGCUUAUUGAAAAAUAUAUUCGAAAAAAUAAAUUAUUAUUUAAUGUUCUAAUAAACUUUUGGAAUGAAAUUAAAAUAGAUAAAUGCACUGGAGAUAUAUGUAAUAUAUAUGAGUCUCCCCAAUUGAAGGAUGUUAAAUAUAAAAUAUAUUAUUUAUUAAAAAUAUUAACAAAAAAUUUUACAAAAUAUGUUAAGUAUUUUUUCGAACAUGAUAACAUUUUAUAUAGUUAUAAAUCUAUUCUAACAUUUGAGGAACAAUGUGUGCUUAAUAUUUAUUUAAAAUUGAAAGAAGAAGUUGAAACAAAAAAAUUAAUAAUUUUAGAAGCUGAUAAAGACUUACUUAAUACUAAAAUUCAAACGUUCUCGAAAAAAGUACAAGAAGGACAACAAAAACUAGAAUUGAUGAAAAAUGAGGUUUAUGAAAAAAAUGUGAUUAGUUUAGAACGUUAUUAUGAGUGUGUUCGAGAACAAAAAUAAGUUAUAAAAAGAGGGGAAAUAAAACGUACAUAUGUACAAAAAGUUCGUACA